This 469-nucleotide ribosomal RNA is filed under the name uncultured bacterium. Its description in RNAcentral is "partial 16S ribosomal RNA". It matches the Rfam family "Bacterial small subunit ribosomal RNA", at positions 28 to 507 of the family's 1533-position model. The record is from RNAcentral.
GACGAACGCUGGCGGCGUGCUUAACACAUGCCAGUCGAACGGAGAGGCCCUGCUUGCAGGGUGCUCGGGUGGCGAACGGGGGAGAAACACGUGGGUGAUCUCCCCCUUACUUUGGGAUAAGCCUGCUAAACUGGGUCUAAUACUGGUGAGGACCAUGCUGCAGGCGGUGUGGUGGAAAGAUUAGUUUCGGUAAGGUGUGAGCUGGCGGCCUCUCAGCUUGUUGGUGGGGUAGUGGCCUAACAAGGCGUCGACGGGUAGCCGGCCUGAGAGGGUGGGCGGCCACAUAGGGACUGGGGGACGGCGCAGACGCCUAGGGGAGGCAGCAGUGGGGAAGAGGGCAAAAUGGGCGCAAGCCGGAUGGAGCGACGCCGCGUGGGGGAUGAAGGCCUUCGGGUUGUAAAGCCCUAAAGGCCAUGAAGAAGCGCUUGUGGUGACGGUAGUGGAAGAAGAAGCACCGGCUAACUACGUG